This 468-nucleotide ribosomal RNA is filed under the name uncultured bacterium. RNAcentral's name for it is "partial 16S ribosomal RNA". It matches the Rfam family "Bacterial small subunit ribosomal RNA", at positions 28 to 507 of the family's 1533-position model. The record is from RNAcentral.
GACGAACGCUGGCGGCGUGCUUAACACAUGCAAGUCGAACGGAAAGGCCCUGCUUUUGUGGGGUGCUCGAGUGGCGAACGGGUGAGUAACACGUGAGUAACCUGCCCUUGACUUUGGGAUAACUUCAGGAAACUGGGGCUAAUACCGGAUAGGAGCUCCUGCUGCAUGGUGGGGGUUGGAAAGUUUCGGCGGUUGGGGAUGGACUCGCGGCUUAUCAGCUUGUUGGUGGGGUAGUGGCUUACCAAGGCUUUGACGGGUAGCCGGCCUGAGAGGGUGACCGGCCACAUUGGGACUGAGAUACGGCCCAGACUCCUACGGGGGGCAGCAGUGGGGAAUAUUGCACAAUGGGCGGAAGCCUGAUGCAGCAACGCCGCGUGCGGGAUGACGGCCUUCGGGUUGUGAACCGCCUUCGCCUGUGACGAAGCGUGAGUGACGGUAAUGGGUAAAGAAGCACCGGCUAACUACGUG